GGUAUGCAGGAUCGGUUGCAACGGUUUCACAUUCAUGUGAAUCAAGAGAUUGGCUUGAAUUGAAAGGCUUUCCAACUAGCCAUUGUACCUGAGAUUGCGAUAAGUCCUUCUUCUUUGGAGCUUGUUCUUGGUCCCAAGGGAAAUGGGGUGACAAAGAAGAAGAAGAGACUUAAAAAAACUAUAUGUGCUUGGUUGUUGACCAACAGAAAGGAUGCAUGG
Molecule: long non-coding RNA, 219 nt
Filed under: Lathyrus oleraceus (garden pea)
Lineage: Eukaryota; Viridiplantae; Streptophyta; Magnoliopsida; Fabales; Fabaceae
Description: Pisum sativum (pea) long non-coding RNA (PSAT_LNC016352)
Source: RNAcentral